CUGUGCUUAAAGAAAAGAUCAUGUGAAGCCACAGAAAAAGGCAGCCAUCUACAAGCCAAGAAUAGAGGACUCAGAAGAAAACCAACCUACCAAUACCUCAGUCUUGGACUUGCAGUUUUCAGAAAUCUGGGACAUUGGACGAAGGCAAGUGAAGAAUGGUCUGACUGAGGAAAAACUCAUAACGCGGUUUUCACAUGUUGAGCUACGGGAGGAAGAGAAUGGAUCAACCACAGGAUGGAAGAGAUCAGAGCAUACCCUUCAUGAGGACAAGGAUCUCUGUCUUUUUAUUCCUAGGAGAGUACCUGGCAGACAGCACAGCAAGAAGACAGUCAUCUGCAAGCCAUAGAGACAGCCCUCAACAGAACCCAAUCACCCUCACCAGAGCCCGAUCAUGCUGGCACCCUGAUCUCGAACUUCAGCCUCCAGAAUCAAGAGCAUAUAAACCUCUGUUGUUUGAGGCUCCCCGUUGAUGUUAUUUUGUUAGGGUAGCUGGGCUAACUAAGAAGAUGACCAAGACAAUUUUGAUGAGUACUUAUUAGAUAUUUUGCAGAAUGUCUCUC
Microcebus murinus (gray mouse lemur) is the source of this 560-nucleotide non-coding RNA. The record is from RefSeq and is a predicted model, not a curated record. Lineage: Eukaryota; Metazoa; Chordata; Mammalia; Primates; Cheirogaleidae.